Molecule: ribosomal RNA, 468 nt
Filed under: uncultured bacterium
Lineage: Bacteria
Description: partial 16S ribosomal RNA
Rfam family: Bacterial small subunit ribosomal RNA
Source: RNAcentral
GACGAACGCUGGCGGCGUGCUUAACACAUGCAAGUCGAACGGAAAGGCCCUGCUCUUGCGGGUUGCUCGAGUGGCGAACGGGUGAGUAACACGCGAGUAACCUGCCCUUGACUUAGUGAUAACUUUUGGAAACUGGGGCUAUAAUCGGAUAGGAGCUCUUGCUGCAUGGUGGGGGUUGGAAAGAUUCGGCGGUUGGGGAUGGUCUCGAAGGAUACCAGCUUGUUUGUGGGGUAGUGGCUUACCAAGGCUUAGACGGGUAGCCGGCCUGAGAGGGUGACCGGCCACAUGGGGACUGAGAGACGGAGCAGUAUCCUACGGGAGGCAGCAGUGGAGAGUAUUGCACAGUGAGCGGAAGCGUGAUGCAGCGGCGCUGCGUGCGGGAUGACGGCCUUCGAGUUAUAAACCGCUGUCUCCUGUGACAAAGCGUGAGUGACGGUAAUGAGUAAGGAAGCACCGGCUAACUACGUG